RNAcentral lists this ribosomal RNA (418 nucleotides) under uncultured Paraprevotella sp. RNAcentral describes it as "bacterial SSU rRNA". It matches the Rfam family "Bacterial small subunit ribosomal RNA", at positions 358 to 774 of the family's 1533-position model. The record is from RNAcentral. Lineage: Bacteria; Pseudomonadati; Bacteroidota; Bacteroidia; Bacteroidales; Prevotellaceae.
GGAAUAUUGGUCAAUGGGCGAGAGCCUGAACCAGCCAAGUAGCGUGAAGGAUGACUGCCCUAUGGGUUGUAAACUUCUUUUGUACGGGAAUAACCUGGCCCACGUGUGGGCUACUGCAUAUACCGUACGAAUAAGCAUCGGCUAAUUCCGUGCCAGCAGCCGCGGUAAUACGGAAGAUGCGAGCGGUAUCCGGAUUUAUUGGGUUUAAAGGGAGCGUAGGCGGAUUGUUAAGUCAGCGGUCAAAUGUCGGUGCCCAACAUCGUCCUUCCGUUGAAACUGGCAGUCUUGAAUGCACACAGGGAAGGUGGAAUUCGUCGUGUAGCGGUGAAAUGCUUAGAUAUGACGAGGAACUCCGAUCGCGAAGGCAUCCUUCUGGAGUGCGAUUGACGCUGAGGCUCGAAAGCGCGGGUAUCAAACA